RNAcentral lists this unclassified non-coding RNA (1535 nucleotides) under Acyrthosiphon pisum (pea aphid). RNAcentral's name for it is "prolyl 4-hydroxylase subunit alpha-2-like, transcript variant X1". The record is from RNAcentral. Lineage: Eukaryota; Metazoa; Arthropoda; Insecta; Hemiptera; Aphididae.
UCGGAGUUUUAUCAUACAUUCAUACUAUCAUAAUAUAGAGUGAACACAUAUAACAACAAAAAUAUGUUAAGAUAUAUAGUGUUUUUUGUUUUUACGGGCACGUUCGCAAACGGAAUAAAUUGGCAUUCGUCGCAGAUCAUAUUAAGACAUCUCUAUGACUUACAAGACGAACAGUUUGCUGUAAUCAAAGAAUAUUUGGAACUGGAAACAAAGCGAAUUCACGACUUAGAGCGGUACAUAAAUUAUUUAUAUGAGAAAGACACUCUACUUAGUCCCAUUGGUACUUCAAAAUUUAUGUCACAGGUGUACAAAAACUUAUCAGAAAUAAAAAAAUUGAUGAAUAAUUAUAAUUCAGUGAAAGUCAUUAAUCAAUUUGACGAACACAAAGCCGUUAGUGAAUUUAAUAUGCAAUCAGCAUAUCGGUCUCUAAGAAGGAUUCAAAAAGUGUACGCGAUUCCUGCAUCUGAUAUGGCUGCAGGUAGAUAUAAGGAUCGGACCAUCGGAGACCCAAUGGAUGCUUGUGAAUGUUAUUUCAUGUCUAAAUAUAGUUUCGAAGAAUAUGACACAUACGGUGUAAUAGAUUGGGCUGUUCAAGCUUAUAAUAAAUGGUUCACCGAUCGUCCAAAAUGUGUAGACAUAGAUAAAUUGCAUUAUUAUACAAGAUCAGCAUCGAUGGCCACAGGAUUUAGUUUUGAAACUCUAUUGGGUUUUAGUAAUCUGAAUCAUUCAGAUUACACUGAACUUUCUGCACAUUUUUCUCUAAUGGCAAACGCAUUAAACAUUCGCGAUAUCAGUGCACAAUCUUCAGAUAAAAUAUAUGAUAAAUAUGAUGAUUUUGAACAAUCCAAUCUAUUUAGACAUUUCCGCUAUUUAUGUAGGGAAGGAAAAUCAGUGAGGCCCUUAACGUAUGAUUCUAAAUGCCGUUAUCAAACAAAAAAUUCUCCGUAUAGGAUGAUAAUGCCUUUCAAAGAAGAAGAUAUCAGUAGUAAUCCGAACAUAAAAUUAUAUCAUGACAUUAUUUAUGACGAAGAGAUUAAAACUAUUACUGAUAUGGCUUCGAAGGACUUGUCCGACGCAGCAUAUUACUUUAACGGUAAGAUUACUUUGUUGGACGACCAACGUCUGGGUCAGCUGAAAUGGUUUUCGGAAAAUGCAAACCCAAUCCUGUUUGGUAAGCUGAACGACCGUAUUGAAUGCAUUACCGAGUAUACGACCAAGACAGCCGAAGGAUAUCAAACAAUUAACUACGGCUUAGGCGGUCAUUUCUCUGUACACAUGGAUGCAUUUACAGAUGUUUUUAACUAGUUGGAUCUCCUAUCACCCAUACAAGCAGUUCCACCGUUAAAAUUAUGUUGUAAACAUUAAUUAAAUCACGUAUUUUCCACCAUACUUUUACUGAGGUUUUAAAUUAAACCUAAUACUUAGGGCCCUAAGUUGAACGGCAACAGAUUGGUCACCAUACUAUUUUAUAUGACUGACGUCCCCGAUGAUGGGUAUACUGUAUUUCCAAAUUUAAAUUAUGUUGCACAUUGUCG